RNAcentral lists this ribosomal RNA (371 nucleotides) under uncultured bacterium. Its description in RNAcentral is "bacterial SSU rRNA". It matches the Rfam family "Bacterial small subunit ribosomal RNA", at positions 29 to 416 of the family's 1533-position model. The record is from RNAcentral.
AACGAACGCUGGCGGCAUGCCUAACACAUGCAAGUCGAACGGGAUCCUGGUUUCGCCAGGUGAGAGUGGCGGACGGGUGAGUAACGCGUGGGAACCCUGCCCAGUGGGUGGGGGAUAACUGCGGGAAACUGCAGCUAAUACCGCAUGAGCCCGCAAGGGAAAGAUUGAUCGCCAUUGGAGGGGCCCGCGUUCGAUUAGGUAGUUGGUGAGGUAACGGCUCACCAAGCCGUACGANCGAUAGCUGGUCUGAGAGGAUGAUCAGCCACACUGGGACUGAGAUACGGCCCAGACUCCUACGGGAGGCAGCAGUGGGGAAUAUUGGACAAUGGGGGCAACCCUGAUCCAGCAAUGCCGCGUGAGUGAUGAAGGCC